CAGCAGCCGCGGGAAUACGUAGGUCCCGGGCGUUGUCCGGAUUUAUUGGGCGUAAAGCGAGCGCAGGCGGUUAGAUAAGUCUGAAGUUAAAGGCUGUGGCUUAACCAUAGUACGCUUUGGAAACUGUUUAACUUGAGUGCAAGAGGGGAGAGUGGAAUUCCAUGUGUAGCGGUGAGAUGCGUGGAUAUAUGGAGGAACACCGGUGGCGAAAGCGGCUCUCUGGCUUGUAACUGACGCUGAGGCUCGAAAGCGUGGGGAGCAAACAGGAUUAGAUACCCCUGUAGUCCCUGUCUCUUAUACU
This 301-nucleotide ribosomal RNA is filed under the name uncultured bacterium. Its description in RNAcentral is "partial 16S ribosomal RNA". It matches the Rfam family "Bacterial small subunit ribosomal RNA", at positions 509 to 810 of the family's 1533-position model. The record is from RNAcentral.